RNAcentral lists this ribosomal RNA (253 nucleotides) under uncultured bacterium. RNAcentral describes it as "partial 16S ribosomal RNA". It matches the Rfam family "Bacterial small subunit ribosomal RNA", at positions 524 to 776 of the family's 1533-position model. The record is from RNAcentral.
UACAUGGGGUGCAAACGUUGCUCGGAAUUAUUGGGCGUAAAGCGCACGUAGGCGGUUUGUUAAGUCGGAUGUGAAAUCCCUCGGCUCAACUGAGGAAGUGCAUCCGAAACUGGCAAGCUUGAGUACGAAAGAGGGUCGCGGAAUUCCCGGUGUAGAGGUGAAAUUCGUAGAUAUCGGGAGGAACACCGGUGGCGAAGGCGGCGACCUGGGUCGAUACUGACGCUGAGGCACGAAAGCGUGGGGAGCAAACAGG